CGGUCCCUAUCCGUCGCGGGCGCAGGAGAUUUGAGAGGAGCUGUCCUUAGUACGAGAGGACCGGGAUGGACUAACCAAUGGUGAACCAGUUGUUCCGCCAGGAGCACGGCUGGGUAGCUAAGUUAGGAAGGGAUAAACGCUGAAGGCAUCUAAGCGUGAAGCCUACCUUAAGAUAAGAUCUCCCAUAGCGUAAGCUAGUAAGACCCCUUGAAGAACACAAGGUUGAUAGGUAAAAGGUGUAAGUAUGGUAACAUAUUUAGCUGAUUUAUACUAAUAGGUCGAGGGCUUGACCAAAAUUAGCA
Molecule: ribosomal RNA, 302 nt
Filed under: Candidatus Arthromitus sp. SFB-mouse-SU
Lineage: Bacteria; Bacillati; Bacillota; Clostridia; Eubacteriales; Clostridiaceae
Description: partial 23S ribosomal RNA
Rfam family: Bacterial large subunit ribosomal RNA
Source: RNAcentral